GACAGUGCAAUUGCUCUGGCAGGUGGCUCCAAGCUGGUCAGUUCAGCUUCUCCUGCUUCGUCUUCGAGCUGUCUUAAGUCAUUCAGUGGCAGUUUUUCCCGACAGUGUCAUGACUUAGGGUGAUUCAGUGCAAGAUAUGCAGAUUUGAACACCCUGCCCAGGAGGUCCUUUUGAAACAUGACCACUUGUGCCACUACCAGGAAAGAUACCGCCAACUACCCUGCCUCUACACAGAUUGCAUCUGCUCCUUUAAAACCACUGGUUGAAGUCUCACCUUUUAAGAUCACACAAGUGCUUAUCUUCACGUGAGAGUCACUUAACAUUUAAUUGUGAAUUGUGUGACUUUAAGGAAAUUUGUAAAACACCUGAUUACUGCAAACGUGUAAGCAGCCAUUUUAAAAAAUCAU
Long non-coding RNA from Cyprinus carpio (common carp), 407 nucleotides. RefSeq lists it as uncharacterized. The transcript has 3 exons. NCBI's taxonomy places the organism in Eukaryota, Metazoa, Chordata, Actinopteri, Cypriniformes, Cyprinidae. The record is from RefSeq and is a predicted model, not a curated record.